Molecule: non-coding RNA, 248 nt
Filed under: Neobacillus bataviensis
Lineage: Bacteria; Bacillati; Bacillota; Bacilli; Caryophanales; Bacillaceae
Description: Bacillus bataviensis T-box sequence
Rfam family: T-box leader
About the family: Uncharged tRNA acts as the effector for transcription antitermination of genes in the T-box leader family. T-boxes are found upstream of many aminoacyl-tRNA synthetase genes and some amino acid biosynthetic genes usually in Gram-positive bacteria.
Source: RNAcentral
AUAAAAACGAUGACGGAGAAAAGUAUCUUGUCUGUUGACCAUGUAGGGAGAAAGUGCCGUGACUGAAAGCACUUUUAUGGUUCGGGGCUUGAGAAGUUCACCUCCCGAGUUGGCAUCGGGACCAUUUUUUGCGAAAGAAAUGUAAAGAUGCACCGGCACAUGCCGUUAUCCGAAUGAAGCGAACACAAUGUUUCCAUACAUAUCGUGUUUACAAGGGUGGUACCGCGAAAACAAACCUCGUCCCUUUC